RNAcentral lists this transfer RNA (74 nucleotides) under Candidatus Phytoplasma planchoniae. RNAcentral's name for it is "tRNA-Gly". It matches the Rfam family "tRNA". Rfam says of the family: Transfer RNA (tRNA) molecules are approximately 80 nucleotides in length. Lineage: Bacteria; Bacillati; Mycoplasmatota; Mollicutes; Acholeplasmatales; Acholeplasmataceae. The record is from RNAcentral.
GCGAAUGUCGUAUAAUGGUAUUACCCUAGCCUUCCAAGCUAGAUAUGUGGGUUCGAUUCCCAUCAUUCGCUCCA